RNAcentral lists this transfer RNA (76 nucleotides) under bacterium. RNAcentral describes it as "tRNA-Arg". It matches the Rfam family "tRNA". From Rfam's summary of the family: Transfer RNA (tRNA) molecules are approximately 80 nucleotides in length. Their secondary structure includes four short double-helical elements and three loops (D, anti-codon, and T loops). The record is from RNAcentral.
GCCCCAAUAGUUCAAUUGGAUAGAACGACCCCGUCCUAAGGGGUAGAUCCAGGUUCAAUUCCUGGUAGGGGCACCA